Molecule: ribosomal RNA, 117 nt
Filed under: Pteropus alecto (black flying fox)
Lineage: Eukaryota; Metazoa; Chordata; Mammalia; Chiroptera; Pteropodidae
Source: RNAcentral
GUCUACGGCUAUGCCACCCUGAACACGCUCAAUCCGUCUGAUCUCGGAAGCUAAGCAGGGUUGGGCCUGGUGAGUACUUGGAUGGGAGACCACCUAGGGAGACCACCUAGGGAGAUC